RNAcentral lists this ribosomal RNA (383 nucleotides) under uncultured bacterium. RNAcentral describes it as "bacterial SSU rRNA". It matches the Rfam family "Bacterial small subunit ribosomal RNA", at positions 28 to 416 of the family's 1533-position model. The record is from RNAcentral.
GACGAACGCUGGCGGCGUGCUUAACACAUGCAAGUCGAACGGUGAACCACUUCGGUGGGGAUCAGUGGCGAACGGGUGAGUAACACGUGGGCAACCUGCCCUUAGCUCUGGGAUAACCCCGGGAAACCGGGGCUAAUACCGGAUACGACCUCGAGCGGCAUCACUCGAGGUGGAAAGAACUUCGGCUAAGGAUGGGCCCGCGGCCUAUCAGCUUGUUGGUGGGGUAACGGCCUACCAAGGCGACGACGGGUAGCCGGCCUGAGAGGGCGACCGGCCACACUGGGACUGAGACACGGCCCAGACUCCUACGGGAGGCAGCAGUGGGGAAUAUUGCGCAAUGGGCGAAAGCCUGACGCAGCGACGCCGCGUGAGGGACGAAGGCC